Anas platyrhynchos (mallard) is the source of this 5245-nucleotide non-coding RNA. The record is from RefSeq and is a predicted model, not a curated record. NCBI's taxonomy places the organism in Eukaryota, Metazoa, Chordata, Aves, Anseriformes, Anatidae.
UAUUAUUUUUGGGUCCCCACACCACUGGGGAAAGCAUGCUCUGCCUUUGCUACAGAGCACCAGGCAGAUGAAAAUCUGCAAUCUGGAAAGAGAGGCUGACAGAAAGUGAUUAAAUGCUACAGUUAAGCUCCCCGUCUUCCUCAGUUUUAGGAUUCAAAUAUGCUGAACCAUUCUACCACAGUUUUUACCGAAAGAAGGUUAGAGAGUUUUCUCCUCAACUCUGGAGGCAGGGAGACAGCCACAACCAUGAAAUUCCCUCCUGGAUUUAAGCUGAUCUGCUCUCAGAGCAGGAAAAAAGCUUUCCCUGCAGCUGUGAACUUCUGCUAGCAAUAAGUAGCAAGGAGUGUGCUUUCCCAAUGCUACUGUACCCACCAGCUUGCUUCAGAAGAGCCAUUAACCAAGUUUUCUAGGUUGGAACAAAGAGCAAACAAGCAAACUUUGGUUUGCACUAGAUCCCAGGCAGGCUCUUGGGGAUCCUCUACACAAGGACCGGGCUAUCACUGACCUCUUAACCUGUGACAUCGUGUCACCUUCAGAGACAUUUGUGUCCCCAGAGGCUCAGCAUUGCCAGAGCAGCAGGAAAGUGGGGCACAUCUUGCGUUGGAAGCAUUUAGCAGAGCCUUCCCGAUUGUUCUUGGAGCGACAUCAGACAAGAGUAGUACAUAAGUGUGUGAGAAACCAGAAGAAAGAGAAGCAGAAGGCCCUAAACAACAACAAGUUAACACCAUGAGAGUCUGGAUGCUGGACAUGCAGAAAGAAAGUGAUCAGUGACAGUCAAUGAAGUGGUUGCCUGGUGGUGGCUUUGCAAACCAUUCCUGAGGCACCCCUCCACGUAGGAUUUGGGAUCGCAUCCGGAUAGCAGGAUCUCCCCAAGGAGAGCGAUGUAGGCGAUGGCCAAGCGGAGUGUGUCAAUCUUGGAUAGGCGCUUCUCAUAGGGGAAAGUCGGAACGUGGCACCUGAGCUCGUCGAAGGCCGAGUUGAUGUUGAGCAUCCUCUUCCUCUCACGGACGUUUGCGGCGCGGCGGUGGAGGCUGGCGGGGGGAGGCCGGGAGCUGUCCGCUUCAGCACCCCCCGUAGCUCCGGCUGCCGCGCUCAGCAGGACAGGUUCAAGAGAUGUGUGAAGUUUAUGAGCUACAGAAAGCUUACUGAUCAGGAGAGCUAAAAGUACUAAUCGCAGGAGCUUCAAAUAAUGAGUCAGAGACCAGAAAACAACCCCCAUUUUCAAUGGGUCCAAAAGGAUGAUUAUGUUCCCUAUCUCUUAACAGUGACUUAGGUUGCAGUCCUAGCUUUGUCCUGCAAAUAGAGGGAUUUCUUUUAAGAUAAGGCUUAGGCUAUUAAUGACUCAUCUUUCUAACUACACAUCAUGGCAUUUUUUCCUGCUGCAGGAAGAUUAAAAACAGUAGACAACAGGCUACAGGAGUGACUUUGCAAAGAGAUAUGAGAGAGUUGCAGUGUAUAAAAUACUAUUUUUUAUUUCUUAUUUUUUAUUUUUAUCUCUUUUUUUAUCUCUUAUUUCUUAUUUCCUUAUUAUUUAUUAUUUCUUCUCCUUAUGCAAAAUAAUCAGAACCUGUUAUCUGAAAAUUUGCUUGAGAAAGGGAAAUGUAAAAUGUGAAUGCCUGACAGAGUAGAUAGUGGCUAAAUGACAAGAAUGAAUUUGUUUUCUCUGAUAAGAUAAGACACAAAUUUGGUAUUAGGUUUUUACAAAAUAAAUCACUUGCUGUGAUAUAGAUAUACCCCAGUGGCAAAAUACUGGUUCUGUGAAACCCCACAGUGACAGAGAUCCUCUGCUCCAAAUGAAUCACAGCGAGGGACAAGGCAGUUACAGAGCAGGAGAUGCUUGGGAGAGGCGAAAGGAAUAGACACAGUCACGGGUGGCAGAGCUGAGACUUGAACUUGGGCCAGUGAACACAGAGGUCAUUCUGUGAUGUUUUCUUUGAAAUUGUCCCAUCGUAUUUUCCAGUGUUGUGUACAAGCAGUGGUCUCAGAGGAAAUUACUUACCACAGUCCCCAUACUUGGCAGUGGGGCUGCAUAUCUGACCCCAGCAGUCCUUUCUACACUCUAGAAAGUAGAUUUGGGCUCUUGUGCAGAAAAGAGGUAGUGGGAAAGCCUUCUUGCCUCAGCCCCUUACCAUGGCACCACCAUGGCACAUGGCACCAUCAAAGCACCUCUGUGGCACUGCUGCUGUGUGGUUGGCUUCCCACAGGUGCUUUGCAGUUCCCAGAUUUCACGUUCUGGUUUGAAUGCUUCUAUAGCUCACCAGUCACUGUUUAACUGAGCACUUGGCAGUUCUCAUUUGACUACCUUAUGCUCAAAUAUAAGACACUUGAAAAUACUUAAAGCAGCAAGAGAAUAGUGGCCUUCUCCUGAACAGGACUCUGGGAGCAAUGGGCAGAAAAGAGGAGGCUUGGCAAAUAGCAUGGUUAUAUUUUUAUGUGCUGGGUUCCUCUUUCUCAGCAGAUGCUUCUUCAGUGCUUAAUGUUCCCUUCCAGAUCCAUCACUGCUAAUAGUGUUGCCUGGGGAUAUGUCUGGCUCCACAGAUGGAGAGCAGAUGUUCCAGCAAGCCUUCUUUUAGCAUGUUCAGGGGAAUUUGGCUCUCUUAGAGAGACUCUGGACAAAGCAGAAGAGGGAGGAGGGGAGUGGAAGGGAGGAAAGCAAGAAAAGAUUUUCCCUUAGAAAGCCAGCUAUGAAAGAGGUCAUAAGAGAGGCUGAGGAUCCCAUCCCUCACACGAACAAACCUUACUACAGCUUCAGAUCUGUUGAACUCUCAAUGUUUCUGACACCAGGGUUGUCAGAAGGGGACAUGUACUGCUAUGUACUGCUAGUUGGACCAAUUUUGCACUUUUCUGGAAGGUUUGGUAAAGCCCCAAACAGUGAAUAAGGUGGCACCAGUACUAUGUUGAGUGAAGGUGCUGUUGAUUAUGACACCCUGGUAAAAUUUCAAGAUCUGCUCAACAGUCACGUUCCCCAUAACAUCUUCAGAUUGAGUGGGAUCCAGAAAUAAUUUUUUUCUGCUUGCCACUUUUUCUGCUAGCACUUAAUUCUUGAGGUGACAGCAGUUUUAUAUAUAUCUAUGCUAGGUAAUGGAGCUAUGGCCAUUUGUAUUUGCAUUUUAAUCCUGCCAGGUCUGGGUAUCCAUGACUCCCUGCAUAACUUUCCCUGUUCAUGCUGGAAGCCACUUUUCUAAGUUCUGUUUGAUCUGUCUCCAUUAUCCGAACAAACCCAUGGCAGACUCUGGGGUUUUGCCUGUUUCAUAGAGUUUGGGAGUUCCCUGCUUUCAGGGAAUAUUUCCACUGCAGCUGGUAUCUUUUUCUUUUCAGUAUUUUAGUAACUGAAAGUUUUUACCCUGUACGUGUAUCUCAAAGAUAACAGGGCAUUCUGGGGUUAUUUGGGAAAUAGAUCUUCCCCUCCCCUUCUUGACCUAUUGACCGUAUUUCAGGUUCAUCUUGGAGAACCUUACCAAAUUUUAGAGGAAAUCAAUGAAACCAGUUUUAGAGGAAUCAAUGAAACCUCCCAGUUCUGGCAAAAUGGCGUUCGUUUUCCUGGGAAUGUAGUUUGAGCAUGUUUCCACCAUCUUUAAUUGUUUAAUAAAGGGAGUCAGACCUUGGACUAGACAGAUAACAAAUGUAGAAAGGACCAGGUGCUCUAUUUUCAGGUUAGGUAACUCCAAAGUACAAGCCCACCAUGUAACUGCUGCUAAUCCAAGCCAAUGCUGCAUAGGGCUGACACCGUGUUCAUCAGCAGACCUGGGAAAUGGGUCCCAAAUCACAGAGAAAAUGAGGUGAAAGAGGCCAGAAAUUUGGGGGAAUGCUUUAUCUGGGUGGGAGUGUGCAGCCAAAUGGUGCUGCCAAACUAGAGCUGAAGAGAAGGAUUUACAGGACCUGAACUGGCCUGGUAGUGCAUUGGUUGAGCUCUUUAUAGCUGCAGCUAAGUGGUGGACCACCAAGUUUCUCUACCUUCUUUUGGGCCAUUUGCAAUGCCUGGUAUUCCUGAACUCCUUGGCACAUUGUGAAGUGCUGGGGGCAAAAAAAGUGCAAGUAUUAUCAUUUAACAAUGGAAUGUGCUUCUUUUUAACCUAAAACAAGAGCAAAUGAAACAACGUAAUGAGAAGCAGAACAAAGACUUCCAGAGCAAGAGGAUUUCAAAGGGAUGAUGGCUGUUUCUGAGAUGCUAAAAUAAUUGUGAAAUGAAACCUUCCUAGCAUACACAGGAUGUUGAUUUUAAGUGAAAAAGGUAACAGGACCUCUUAUUCACAGGGUAGAAACAUCAGAUCUUAAAGUUUGUGGGGGCAAGGCACUGGUGAAUGAUUGUUAACAUAACUUUGAUUUACUUCUUUAUUAAUAUAAACUACUCAAGAUAGCAUUUGCUUUCAAAGUCUUUGGUGUUUAAAAGUGAACACAGUCACUUUAACUUUUCUUCAGGGUGUUUGCGAAGUUACAGAAAAUUAAUCCCAGUCUCUUUAGGAGAAGGAAGGUAUUUUCUCUAAUAAAAACAGUCACUCGUGGUUUCCCCUUCCUCACUGAGCCUUUUAUGAGUUGAGGGAUGACCUUUGGACUGUUGCUGCCAAGCAGUUCCUCAUCCAAGUCGCUGCUCUGGGGUGUGUGGCUGCUUGUUUGAGUGAACAAUUGUCUUUGGGACAAAACAUGUACAUUAGCCUAUGCUUAUCUGUACAGUUUUGAUCUCAAAGGAAGUGAAGUGCUCAUGGAAACUUCCUUGUGUGAUGGCCCUAGGAGGACUGCUUGUCCUGCAUUGCACGGUGAUUUCUCCAUGCAACCCGAAACAUACCUCAGGAAGGUUAACAUCAGACAGCCUCCAAGGAUUACAGGUCCUGCCCAUGACCAUCCUCAUCUCUGUAGCCAGUGAGAAUUAUCUCCAGGGAGAGGAAAAACUUCAAUUUGUGUGAUUAGCUAAUGCUUUUAUUAAAGGUUUUAUUCAGAUGUCAAUUCUCCCCUCUCCCAUUCAUGGGGUAGUGCCUUAAAGUCAUCAGUGAGUUCAGUCAGCUCUCAGGAUGUCAGGCACUAAGUAAAACAUUCUUCCUCUUGCUUGAGUAUAACUUAACUCCUUUGCAAAACCACUGUCAAAAAGAUGUCUUCUGAAACAUACAUGAACAUUUUUUAAAGGGGUGGGUUAUCCAUUCCAGGAGGCCAAGCACUCUUUCUUUGGGUACAAGCAAUCCUGUAUAUCUGAAUUGUUUAUGGUCUUGUUUGAAUGGGAGAAAAAAAAAAAUCAUUAAAAAAUGAAAAAGCC